AGUACCCUGCAAAAAGAAUUGCUUGAUGCUGUGGCAGCCCUGUGACUGCACCAAACACCAUAAGGAAAAGAGACUAUUCUGCUUUUCUGAGCAGCUGCAUAAGCUGGCUCAUAAUAUUCAACUGUAGUGUGAAGGAAAGUAGUCAUAUAUGAGCAAUACAUCAUCAGGAGCAGAUAAAGAGACUAUCGGUGGUAUCUAGCAUUAUAAAAAGAUUUUGUGGUGUCAACUGCCAGAGCCUCAUAUACUGAAGACAACAGCUAACAAGAAGAUGAUCUGCCCCUGUAGAAUGCAGCUCCAGCCAUGCACAUUGUGAAAGCAGCCAGCAGGGUGAAGCUGUUGUGGUGCAGCAACACCUCAAGCAUCAAGAUGUGCCAUUAUGUCUGAGCAGCAAUGUCAGAACAGGCUCACCAGGGAGGUGGUGGAGUCACUGUCUCUGGAGAUGUCCAAGAAAAGUGUAGAUGUGGCAUUGAGGUAGUGGACAUGAUGAUGAUGGCUGGACAUGAUGACCUUAGUGAUCUUUUCCAACUUUAACAAAUGAUGAUUCUGAAAUCUGAUGGCAGAAGCCAUUCUAGAGCUGCUACGCUUAAACUCAGAUAUUCUUCACCAGUAGUUAAUACAUAAGCACCCACGCAAGGUCAUCAGCAAUCAAAAUCCCAACCCUUCCCUCCAGAGCAUUGCAGGAAGACUGGAAGAGUGGCCCCAACACCCAGGACAGAUUGUAGGAAGAAGGAAACACAGCUGAGUGACAAAGUCCUCCUUUCAUAUCUCUCUGCAGUGCUUUAUCCUUACCACUGGGCAGACCAGCAGAAGAGGCUAGGAUGGUCUGAUAGUGAACAACCAAACGUCCUACCUGGGCAUGUCUGUGAGACAUUCCUUACAGGAUGCUGAGACUCCUUAUUAGAGAAGAUCUACUACAUUUGAAUGAUCUGACUUUAUUUCAGACAUUUUCCUUAGCCAGAAAUCCAACUUUAUCUACAAGCCCAGCAAAGUGCUGAUAUUGUUUAUGCAUCACACAUCACAGAUUUUGCUUUGCAACAAAAGCUAAAAAAUAUUUUGCUCUAAGGCACAGAGCUUGUUAUUUAUUUCCUAUUAUUUGAACCUUGAGGCAUGAGACUUCUAAAGAAAAACUGAACUACGUACUUUUUAAAGCAUUUAGAGUCCAGGCAGACCCAGAUCCACAGAGCAAAGCAGGCUCACAUUCGCUCCAAGUUUUGCACCAGUACAUGCCUAAUUUAACUGGCAAAUGAGAGGCGUAACCAUGGCAGACUGGGGGCUCCAAAACCCAAGCUUCAGAGUGUAGAAGUUGGUAAAAACCCAUCCCAUUCUCCUGAGAAGACACAUUUAAUUAUGAUAUUGUCAUGGACACAGCAUCCAA
Non-coding RNA from Meleagris gallopavo (turkey), 1375 nucleotides. NCBI's taxonomy places the organism in Eukaryota, Metazoa, Chordata, Aves, Galliformes, Phasianidae. The record is from RefSeq and is a predicted model, not a curated record.